Molecule: small RNA, 107 nt
Filed under: uncultured Polaribacter sp.
Lineage: Bacteria; Pseudomonadati; Bacteroidota; Flavobacteriia; Flavobacteriales; Flavobacteriaceae
Description: Flavo-1 RNA
Rfam family: Flavo-1 RNA
Source: RNAcentral
GGAUUGAAGUGGAAAUCCUUUUUAUUGUCAGUUCGAUUUUUUUUGUAAAAGAUGAACAAAAAAGUAUCGAGAACAAAAUAAAAAGAUUGUAACGUAAAGCCCGACCU